CUACGGGGGGCUGCAGUGGGGGAUAUUGCACAAUGGAGGAAACUCUGAUGCAGCAACGCCGCGUGAAGGAAGACGGUUUUCGGAUUGUAAACUUCUAUCAGCUGGGAAGAAAAUGACGGUACCAGACUAAGAAGCCCCGGCUAACUACGUGCCAGCAGCCGCGGUAAUACGUAGGGGGCAAGCGUUAUCCGGAUUUACUGGGUGUAAAGGGUUCGUAGGCGGUUAUUUAAGUCAGAUGUGAAAGCCCGAGGCUCAACCUCGGGACUGCAUUUGAAACUGGAUAACUAGAGUACAGGAGAGGAAAGCGGAAUUCCUAGUGUAGCGGUGAAAUGCGUAGAUAUUAGGAAGAACACCAGUGGCGAAGGCGGCUUUCUGGACUGUAACUGACGCUGAUGAACGAAAGCGUGGGGAGCGAACAGGAUUAGAUACCCGUGUAGUC
This 439-nucleotide ribosomal RNA is filed under the name uncultured bacterium. RNAcentral's name for it is "partial 16S ribosomal RNA". It matches the Rfam family "Bacterial small subunit ribosomal RNA", at positions 339 to 795 of the family's 1533-position model. The record is from RNAcentral.